UACGGAGCCAUCGCUUGCAUUGUGCCGUCAGAGGUCUUUCUGCGUGUGUCUGUACAUGCUCUGUGCCCACAUAAGCGAAAUACGCAUUGGAAAGCGAACAGCAUGAACCUCCAACCAUUUCGAAUCGUGCAGCCGCUCUCCCGCGUCCUUCAUCGCACCAUGCAUCAACUGUUGUGUGAGCCGCAGCAGACCUUGCCACCCGCCGUGACCGACGCGCUUAUCACGUACUCCCUCUACGAGCAGGUGCCACAUGCGGAGCUGCUGAAGACCCUCCUGAAUGGGUUGAAGCGGGCCCAGCAUGGGGAUGCCGUGCUGAGCAGCGACGAUCUUUUUCUGCCCUUGAAAGCGGUGCGGCGCGCACUCGCCGGUGUGCAGCAGUUCCCUCUCACCACAGCUGAGCUGACGACGUUAAAGCGCGAUGUGGAGGUGGGUGUGGUGCGCGACAUAACGCGGCUGUCCACAGACGACCUCUCCUCUGCCGAUGUGGGGCUGCUCUGGGGAUGCGCCACUCAGUGUUCACAGUGGGACUGCGUGGAAGAGCUUCUCCGGCACUUCCCGCUGUCGCGCACGCUCAGCUUGCAGAGCGCGAGUGAGUACCGGGACUUGCUGAUCGGAGUGUGCACCCCGCAGUUUGUGUCGCAGGCUCAUCCGCGCAGUGCUGACGGCGAAGACGGGGGCGCUGCGGCGCCCGCGGAGAAGGACAAUGCGGCCCCUACCGUACGCCAUGCUGAGGCGUUCAUACAACGCAUUCUCGGUGUUGAAACGGUGUGGCAGCGAUGUCGCGAGGCGCUGGAGGCAAGCUCGCUGCCGCUCCUCGUGAGCGGCGGCUCGUUGGCAGACUCGGCUGCGCUGGAAGAGCGAGACAUGCACGCCAUCGCGUGCGUCAUGUGCGCUGCCACGCUCGAGAUGCAGUGUGACAUGCCGGCUGACUCGGCCCUCGCCUUUCCGUUCUCCGCGGCUGAGUGGGCGCAGUAUGUCGGUGGUGGGGACGGCAGUGCAACUGGCAGCAGCGGUACUCAGUGCGUGCGGCCGAGCACGAUUGGGGGGCUGUCGCUUCCUGUGUGGUACCGCCGGAUGGUCGCCCUGCAUCAGCGCUGCGUCCCAGACUUUGUGCGCGCCUCCUUCGCGGCUGCCGUGGCGGACGACCUGCUGCGGCUGUACCAGCGCAUCGACACGGAGUCGUUGGAGACAUUCUUUUUGUCGUUCCUGCCGCUGGUGAUCGCUGCGGCGCCGCGCAUGGACUGCAGGACUGCUUUGCGCGGUUAUCACAACGACGUCAUGUCGAAACUCUUCUGCACGACGCCGUCGGCUUCCUCUGCCACCAGCGGUGGAGGCGAUCGCGCUGCAGCAACGGGGCGGCGCGGCAAGUGGGCUGUCAAUGAUGCCUCAGUUUUGGCGGCACCAGCGUCUGGGACUGCGGCCGCCUCCUUUGCGCUCUCUGCUGACAUGGUGAUGCGAGUGAUGUUGGCGGAGGUUUGCAUCCAGGAAAAGGGGAAGCCGCUGCCGGAAGCCCACGUGCCGGCAAUGGAGUCGAUGCUGCGCACCGUGGUGGGCCAUCUGCGCCGUCACCUACGGAGUGAGUCGCGGUCUCGCGUGGUGCCGCAGUAUAGCGUCACUGCCGCCGAGCCUCCCGCGUCGCUGUGGAAAGCAUGGAAUUCGCACCGCACCUCGCUGCUGGCGAUUGUGCUCAGCGAGGUGCAGGAGCGCAUGUCCGGCAGUGCUGGACAGGGGUCCGCGUCGACAGUUAUGAACCUCGCUGGGCAAGGCCUUCAGCUGCUCCGCCCGCUCAUAUCGAUGGAGGUGAUAGACGAACGCGGAACGGCGCGGAUGGUGACUAACCUUCUGUCUUCUGGCAGAGGUGCUGCGCUCGAGAUCGGUGGUGCCGCGUACGAGGCGGAGCUGCAGUCCUUUGCGCUGAAGCACGUGCAAGACGGUUUUGCGCGCACCGACGUGGCGGCCAUUGUGCAAACCAUGGAGAAGCACCUGGGCCACGGCUGCAACAAUGGUGGUGCUGGGGGCGAUGCAAAGGUGCUGUGCGCCUUGGAGGGGCUGAAGGCGGCUGAGCUGACGCUACCGUUGCGAUCGUGGUCAUAGGCGCGAGAGACGCCGGGCGUGUGUGUGUGUGCCUUGCGUGCAUUCUUUCUUGCGGCCAGUGCACCCGGAGGCACACGCACACACACAUACGCACAGAGGGUUUUG
RNAcentral lists this unclassified non-coding RNA (2199 nucleotides) under Leishmania donovani. Its description in RNAcentral is "gene:LdHU3.25.2490(CDS-product:hypothetical_prote in_conserved)". The record is from RNAcentral. Lineage: Eukaryota; Euglenozoa; Kinetoplastea; Trypanosomatida; Trypanosomatidae.